Molecule: long non-coding RNA, 1193 nt
Filed under: Daucus carota (carrot)
Lineage: Eukaryota; Viridiplantae; Streptophyta; Magnoliopsida; Apiales; Apiaceae
Description: long non-coding RNA (DCAR_LNC000822)
Source: RNAcentral
GCUCCGCAAAAUUGGUAAUUUGAGCUUAGUUCUUCACCUCAAGCUUGGUCUUAUGUGUAAAUGUUCUCAUAGCAUUGCAGAAAUUCCUAUCAUAUUGAUAUGCAUGAUGCAUCAACAAUAUUAACAAUGCAAUAUAUUUUCUCUAAUUUAUUUGUUCUUAGUAUCAAGCACAAUGCAUUUCUUUGUUUCAUCCAUCACGAUAAAGAGCUAAUAUCUGGUUAACAAAUCGCAAAUUUAACAAGAAUCCGUAUUCUGUAAAUAAAGAGGUAAUCUGGUAACUAAUCACCAUUUUAACAAGAACUCAGAAUUUUGUGCUCAUAACAGGUAAAAUUCAUAUUCUGUUAAUUAAAGAGGUACUAAGAUCUGGUAACUAAUCCCCAUUUUAACAAGAACCCGAAUUCUGUAAACUGGAGAGAUCAUAUCAGGUUAACUAAUCACCGGUUUACAAUAACUCAAAUUCUGUUAACUAAUCAGCAUUGAACAUUUUGCAAGUUUAUCGCAACAGAUUCAGAAUUUUUCGCCAACAAAUUACCAAUUAAGCAUCUAAAUGACUAAUACACUGCUUAAGUUAACAGAUUCAGAUCUACAAUUCUCACUAGCAUUGACAUAAAAUCCAAUUUAUUUAAUUAUUAAUUUACUUGAGCAUCAACAUCCAAAUCAACAAGUGUAGGAAAUCAAGCUAACAGAUCCAGAUCUACAUAAUACUAACAAUUAAACAAACACAAUAAUAAUAUUAAUAAAAUCAAUAAUUGAAUCAGUUAAUUAAGUAAUAAAAGCUACAUAAAUCUCACUAACACCACAUCAAAAUCUUCAAUCAAAAACAUAAUCACUCUCUCUCACUUUCACUCUAUAAUACUAGCAUAUCAUAUAAUACUUCUACUCUUUAGAUCUGGAGAAAAGAACCGAAGAGAAGAGCGGCGACGGCGCAACCAACAGCGGCAAGCGACGGCGAGAGAGAUCCGGCGGAGGACAUCGGAGAUGGCGCCGGUGCGGGAGACUCGUCGGCGACGGUGGAUCCGAUGAGAGAGAAGACGACGGCGAUGAGCGCGAUGAGAGAGAUUGUGGAGUGAGAGAGCGCCAUUGUUGAGAGAGAUCUGUGAGUUUGAGAGAGAGUGAGGGAGAGGAGUGAGGUGGGAGGGGUUUGAGCUAUUUUUGUGUAUUUAUGGAGGGAUUUGUAGGUGUUGCUAGAUGGG